AAACCCUAAAGUGCAAGAGGGAGACGCAAACGCAGCCCUCGACUUUGAGCCCGAGGACGAUGACCGAAGGCCGAGCGCAACACUAUGCUCUAGACGGCGUUGAGCCCCAGCGAUGGUUCUGAAAACGAUAAACGCAGGGAAGCUGCGGAGAAGGAGGAGAGGAUCAUCUGUUAGCAUAAAUGGCUUCCUGAAGCCUGCUGAAGGGGAGAACCAGAGGUGCUAUGGUGGUCGUAAUCGGGUCCAAGAGGCGGAACAACGGGGAGCGUGGAGGUUACUCGAGCAGUACUAAAGCACCCCCAUUGCAGAUCCUACAGUCAUCCCAUCUCUAGGUGGCAAAUGAGAGCCCGGCUCAUCUAGUUCCAGCUCUACGGGUAUCAUAAGAAAUUUUUUUAUCUUAAGAAGUAUUUUUAUUAUCAGUGUUUUUUGAGUGUUCAUUUUAUGUCAUGGGCAAAUGGAUCUUGCAUCAGUUUUGAGUUGGAAUAGAGAAUCCCUGCGUUUGAAAUCUACUUUGAUUAUAUCUGGUUUUUAUAGGAAUUAUAA
Long non-coding RNA from Argentina anserina (silverweed cinquefoil), 540 nucleotides. RefSeq lists it as uncharacterized. The record is from RefSeq and is a predicted model, not a curated record. The transcript has 3 exons. Lineage: Eukaryota; Viridiplantae; Streptophyta; Magnoliopsida; Rosales; Rosaceae.